AACCUGGUUGAUGCCUGCCAGUAGUCAUAUGCGUUGUGCUCAAAGAUUAAGCCAUGCAUGUCUCAGUAUAAGUCUUUACAUGUCGAAACUGCGAAUGGCUCAUUAAAACAGUUAUAGUUUAUUUGAUGGUCACUCGUUAUUUGGAUAACUGUGGUAAUUCUAGAGCUAAUACAUGCACAAAACCGCGACUUCUUGGAAGCGGUGUAUUUAUUAGAUACGGAACCAAUCGGGCAACCGUUGUUGGAUGAUUCAUGAUAAAUGUACGGAGCGUAUGGCUUGUGCCGACGCUGUAUCAUUCAAGUUUCUGACCUAUCAGCUUUCGACGGUAGGGUAUUGGCCUACCGUGGCAUUGACGGGUAACGGAGAAUUAGGGUUCGAUUCCGGAGAGGGAGCCCGAGAAACGGCUACCACAUCUAAGGAAGGCAGCAGGCGCGCAAAUUACCCAAUCACGACACGUGGAGGUAGUGACAAGAAAUAACAAAGCAAGCCAGUAUUCUGGUUUUGCUAUUGGAAUGAGUAGAAUUUAAAUCUCUUUACGACUAUCAAUUGGAGGGCAAGUCUGGUGCCAGCAGCCGCGGUAAUUCCAGCUCCAAUAGC
This 597-nucleotide ribosomal RNA is filed under the name uncultured marine eukaryote. RNAcentral describes it as "SSU rRNA". It matches the Rfam family "Eukaryotic small subunit ribosomal RNA", at positions 1 to 598 of the family's 1831-position model. The record is from RNAcentral.